This 95-nucleotide ribosomal RNA is filed under the name Aphanizomenon flos-aquae MDT14a. RNAcentral's name for it is "partial 16S ribosomal RNA". It matches the Rfam family "Bacterial small subunit ribosomal RNA", at positions 1447 to 1533 of the family's 1533-position model. The record is from RNAcentral. Lineage: Bacteria; Bacillati; Cyanobacteriota; Cyanophyceae; Nostocales; Aphanizomenonaceae.
AGGGGGAUGCCUAAGGUAGGACUGAUGACUGGGGUGAAGUCGUAACAAGGUAGCCGUACCGGAAGGUGUGGCUGGAUCACCUCCUUUUAGGGAGA